Molecule: ribosomal RNA, 420 nt
Filed under: uncultured bacterium
Lineage: Bacteria
Description: bacterial SSU rRNA
Rfam family: Bacterial small subunit ribosomal RNA
Source: RNAcentral
UGGGAAUCUUCCGCAAUGGACGAAAGUCUGACGGAGCAACGCCGCGUGAACGAAGAAGGUUUUCGGAUCGUAAAGUUCUGUUGUUAGGGAAGAACCGCCGGGAUAACCUCCCGGUCUGACGGUACCUAACGAGAAAGCCCCGGCUAACUACGUGCCAGCAGCCGCGGUAAUACGUAGGGGGCAAGCGUUGUCCGGAAUUAUUGGGCGUAAAGCGCGCGCAGGCGGCUUCUUAAGUCAGGUGUGAAAGCCCACGGCUCAACCGUGGAGGGCCACUUGAAACUGGGAGGCUUGAGUGCAGGAGAGGAGAGCGGAAUUCCACGUGUAGCGGUGAAAUGCGUAGAGAUGUGGAGGAACACCUGUGGCGAAGGCGGCUCUCUGGCCUGUAACUGACGCUGAGGCGCGAAAGCGUGGGGAGCGAAC